This 1172-nucleotide long non-coding RNA is filed under the name Equus asinus (donkey). Its description in RNAcentral is "lncRNA (ENSEASG00005034153.1)". The record is from RNAcentral. Lineage: Eukaryota; Metazoa; Chordata; Mammalia; Perissodactyla; Equidae.
GGAGGCGGGAACUCGGGCUCCGGUUCCCGGAUGGAGGUCAAAGGUGGUGCUCUUGGAGCUGACGCCUGCGGGCAGAAGGCGGGCAGGGGCUGUCGGGAGCAUGCGCACGGAGCAGAGCCCAGCAGCCCCGCGAAUCGUAGCUCUGGAGAGCUCUCUUGCUGCGUGUCCUUCCUCCCAUGGCGGGUAAUGCUGCUUCGGUUGUUUGUUGCCUGCGGUCCCUCUGCUUGGCCUGUUUGCUCCCGACGUGCACGUGGCUCACUCCUCCCUGCCUUCGAGCUGUUGCUCGCAGCACAGGUUCUCAAGGAGGCUUUAUCUGACCUUGCUAUUUCAUUGCACAGCCCGUAUGCCCACCCUUGCCAUCCACGCCCCGCUCCUGGUUUAUUUUUCUUUUGUUCAAACCACUCUUCACUUUCUAAGAUUCUCUGGAGCAGCCACACAUGGAUCAGCUCUCUUUUUAUCUAAGCAGCUACUGAGCUUCUAGAGUAUGCUGGCUCUUCUCAGUGUCCGAGUUUGGUGAGACAGAAACCAGUCCCUUGGGCAACCCCCUGAAAAGCUGGAAUGUUAGUAGAUGCUCCAAAUCUUUCCCGCCAUAGGCAGAAUUUCAGAGUUGGAGAUUUCAUCUUGCUUAUUCCAUGCUGAGCUGGGAGGAGGAACUAUGAUAAAACAUCAGAGAUCAGAAAUUAAGAAGAUAAAGUGUUAAAAUGAGAAAUCAAAAAUCAAGCAAACAAAAACCAUCUGCAAAGUGAAGACUCAUCCUUGAAAUCUGUAGAACUGUGAUGGCCAAUGAUAAUCAGACCCUCUCCUAUUUGAUUUUCAAGCACUUCACUUCUUAAAUUACAUUGUCAUAAGUUCUGCCUUGGAAUACCUUUUUUAAUCAUGAUUGAUUUUUACUUUGAGUUUUUUAAAGUAAAUUUUCUUGCUUUUGUUUUUGUUUUUUACAAACAAUGUGUCAGAAUCUGCUAGAAUUACCUGGAUCAUAUAAUCUUAGCCAAUUGAGCUUAGUUUUGUUUAUUUUUGUUUUGUUACAGUGCACUAUAAAUUUUAUUUGGCAACGAUUUUAAUGUUAUGUUUUGGGAAAAUAAUUGAAACAAAUAAUAUUUUCUACUUUCCUCCUCCAUUUAUUUUAUACUUUUUAUUUCAAAUACCUCUACUUUAUUGGGGUUUUUUUGGUA